RNAcentral lists this ribosomal RNA (253 nucleotides) under uncultured bacterium. Its description in RNAcentral is "partial 16S ribosomal RNA". It matches the Rfam family "Bacterial small subunit ribosomal RNA", at positions 524 to 776 of the family's 1533-position model. The record is from RNAcentral.
UACGGAGGGAGCUAGCGUUGUUCGGAAUUACUGGGCGUAAAGCGCGCGUAGGCGGCUUUGUAAGUUAGAGGUGAAAGCCCGGGGCUCAACCCCGGAAUUGCCUUUAAGACUGCAUCGCUUGAAUCCGGGAGAGGUGAGUGGAAUUCCGAGUGUAGAGGUGAAAUGCGUAGAUAUCGGGAGGAACACCAGUGGCAAAGGCGGUCUUCUGGGCUGUACCUGACGCUGAGGCGCGAAAGCGUGGGGAGCAAACCGG